Molecule: ribosomal RNA, 294 nt
Filed under: uncultured bacterium
Lineage: Bacteria
Description: partial 16S ribosomal RNA
Source: RNAcentral
GGACUACAGGGGUAUCUAAUCCGUUUUGCUCCCCACGCUUUCAUGCCUCAACGUCAGUAACAGAAUAGUUAACUGCCUUCGCCUUAUUGGUGUUCUUCCAUAUAUCGUCACAUUUUACCGCUCCACAUGGAGUUCCGUUAACCUCUCCUGCACUCAAGCUGAACAGUAUUAUCAACUUCCACGAGGUUGAGCCUCGAUUUCCCACUGAUAACUUAUCAAGCCGCCUACGCAUCCUUUACGCCCAAUAAAUCCGGAUAACGUUCGCCACCUAUGUCUUACCGCGGCUGCUGGCAC